RNAcentral lists this ribosomal RNA (303 nucleotides) under uncultured bacterium. Its description in RNAcentral is "partial 16S ribosomal RNA". It matches the Rfam family "Bacterial small subunit ribosomal RNA", at positions 507 to 808 of the family's 1533-position model. The record is from RNAcentral.
AGCAGCCGCCGCGGGAAUACGGAGGGGGCAAGCGUUAUCCGGAAUUAUUGGGCGUAAAGGGUACGUAGGUGGCCUUUUAAGCGUAGGGUAUAAGGCAAUGGCUCAACCAUUGUUCGCCCUAUGAACUGGAAGGCUUGAGUGCAGGAGAGGAAAGCGGAAUUCCUAGUGUAGCGGUGGAAUGCAUAGAUAUUAGGAGGAACAUCAGCGGCGAAGGCGGCUUUCUGGACUGCAACUGACACUGAGGUACGAAAGCGUGGGGAGCAAACAGGAUUAGAUACCCCUGUAGUCCCUGUCUCUUAUACC